Molecule: ribosomal RNA, 336 nt
Filed under: uncultured Elusimicrobia bacterium
Lineage: Bacteria; Pseudomonadati; Elusimicrobiota; Elusimicrobia
Description: bacterial SSU rRNA
Rfam family: Bacterial small subunit ribosomal RNA
Source: RNAcentral
AGUGAACGCUGGCGGCGUGCCUAACACAUGCAAGUCGAGCGAAGUGGUAGCUGUAGCAAUACAGUGUACGCUUAGCGGCAGACGGGUGAGUAACACGUAGGGAACCUUCCUCUUAGCGGGGGAUAGCCAGCCGAAAGGUUGGGUAAUACCGCGUACGAUCUACUUGAGGCAUCUCGAGUGGAUGAAACAUCCGCAAGGAUGACUGGGAGAGGGCCCUGCGGCCUAUCAGCUAGUUGGUGAGGUAACGGCUCACCAAGGCUACGACGGGUAACCGACCUGAAAGGGUGAACGGUCACACUGACACUGAGACACGGGUCAGACUCCUACGGGUGGCUG